CUACGGGACGCUCCAGUAGGGAAUUUUCGGCAAUGGGGGGAACCCUGACCGAGCAAUGCCGCGUGAACGAAGAAGGUCUUCGGAUUGUAAAGUUCUUUUAUUGGAGAAGAAAGGUAUAUAUAGGAAAUGAUAUAUAUUUGACGGUACCCAUUGAAUAAGCCCCGGCUAACUACGUGCCAGCAGCCGCGGUAAUACGUAGGGGGCGAGCGUUAUCCGGAAUUAUUGGGCGUAAAGAGUGCGUAGGCGGUUUGUUAAGUCACUUGUAAAAGAUAUCAGCCCAACUGAGUAGGGCGAGUGAAACUGGCAGACUUGAAUACGGUAGAGGUAAGUGGAAUUCCAUGUGUAGCGGUGGAAUGCGUAGAUAUAUGGAGGAACACCAAUGGCGAAGGCAACUUACUGGGCCGGAAUUGACGCUGAGGCACGAAAGCGUGGGGAGCAAACAGGAUUAGAUACCCCGGUAGUC
RNAcentral lists this ribosomal RNA (463 nucleotides) under uncultured bacterium. RNAcentral describes it as "partial 16S ribosomal RNA". It matches the Rfam family "Bacterial small subunit ribosomal RNA", at positions 339 to 795 of the family's 1533-position model. The record is from RNAcentral.